This 515-nucleotide ribosomal RNA is filed under the name uncultured bacterium. RNAcentral describes it as "bacterial SSU rRNA". It matches the Rfam family "Bacterial small subunit ribosomal RNA", at positions 31 to 518 of the family's 1533-position model. The record is from RNAcentral.
GAACGCUGGCGGCGUGCCUAAUACAUGCAAGUCGAACGGUCUUUCUAUGGAAGCUUGCUUCCACUGAGAAGAUAGUGGCGAACGGGUGAGUAACACGUGGGUAACCUGCCCAUAAGAGGGGGGAUAACAUCCGGAAACGGGUGCUAAUACCGCAUAGUUUUCUUGAUCGCAUGAUCGGGAAAGGAAAGACGGCCUUUGUGCUGUCGCUUAUGGAUGGACCCGCGGCGUAUUAGUUAGUUGGUGAGGUAACGGCUCACCAAGACGAUGAUACGUAGCCGACCUGAGAGGGUGAUCGGCCACAUUGGGACUGAGACACGGCCCAAACUCCUACGGGAGGCAGCAGUAGGGAAUCUUCCGCAAUGGACGAAAGUCUGACGGAGCAACGCCGCGUGAGUGAAGAAAGGUUUUCGGAUCGUAAAACUCUGUUGUCAGAGAAGAACAAGUUGGAGAGUAACUGCUCCAGCCUUGACGGUAUCUGACCAGAAAGCCACGGCUAACUACGUGCCAGCCGCGGC